This 468-nucleotide ribosomal RNA is filed under the name uncultured bacterium. RNAcentral describes it as "partial 16S ribosomal RNA". It matches the Rfam family "Bacterial small subunit ribosomal RNA", at positions 28 to 507 of the family's 1533-position model. The record is from RNAcentral.
GACGAACGCUGGCGGCGUGCCUAACACAUGCAAGUCGAACGGAAAGGCCCUGCUUUUGUGGGGUGCUCGAGUGGCGAACGGGUGAGUAACACGUGAGUAACCUGCCCUUGACUUUGGGAUAACUUCAGGAAACUGGGGCUAAUACCGGAUAGGAGCUCCUGCUGCAUGGUGGGGGUUGGAAAGUUUCGGCGGUUGGGGAUGGACUCGCGGCUUAUCAGCUUGUUGGUGGGGUAGUGGCUUACCAAGGCUUUGACGGGUAGCCGGCCUGAGAGGGUGACCGGCCACAUUGGGACUGAGAUACGGCCCAGACUCCUACGGGAGGCAGCGGUGGGGAGUAUUGCACAAUGGGCGGAAGCCUGAUGCAGCAACGCCGCGUGCGGGAUGACGGCCUUCGGGUUGUAAACCGCUUUCGCCUGUGACGAAGCGUGAGUGACGGUAAUGGGUAAAGAAGCACCGGCUAACUACGUG